GGUGCGUUGAUUCUGGUUUGCGGUAUGCACUUUGCCGUGAUUUCCGAACCUCCAUCAUGCAGCAGCUCUUUCACGUCAUACACAUCGGCUUCAAAAAGGAGUCGUCCUUUACGAAGGUUCCCGCCGCGGAAAAAACAGCUUAGGUCGUUAUGCUCGCCGAAACCGGUCGCCAGUAACGUGGGCACGCCGCUCGACAUGGCUCGCAAAGCUCCCGCGCCCGAAUUCGCGCGCGAAUUCGCGCGCCCACAUCUCCCACCAGAGUUUAUCUCGUAGCCGCUCAGUGGCACUACCAGUCCGCCGACGGUAUCACCGUCUGCACGGAGCCUUUUUUUGUUCGGAACAAUCUCAACAACGAGGUGCUCGAUGUCCGGGUCCGGAAGGGUAUUGCUUGCCUAUGGCUACAAGAACCGUCACGCGUGGCCUGUGACAGCAAGCUUUUGUGGGCAGCCAGUGCUCUCCUACGAAGGCUGGCCUGCUCUGGCAGCGGCGGCAAUCCUCUUCAACAUUUAUCCAUGAUCACCUUUGCUGCUUUUUGUCACUCUUGUUAAUUAGAGUUUUUGCAUCUUUUGUAAUUUAUUAGGUAAUAAAGUAUGACUAUAUGA
Molecule: long non-coding RNA, 602 nt
Organism: Dermacentor albipictus
Lineage: Eukaryota; Metazoa; Arthropoda; Arachnida; Ixodida; Ixodidae
Source: RefSeq, a predicted model, not a curated record